GCCUCUCGCCGUUGUAAGUGCUCUGUGCUAAUAGUCAGGAAUGUAUUUAUCAAAGGGUUGCUGACUAUGAGCACAGAGCACUUACAACGGCGAGAGGCUAAUUCACAGCACAUACAUCUGCUUCCACAACAAAACAUGAUCCUAAACUCGUCACAUGGAAACCACACCACUGUCUUUAACCCCUUUAACGAACAAAAAAAUAAAACAGACCUUCAGCGAUUAUGAGACCAAAAGAAAACAAGGAAAUGGUCAAUCAUUGAAUAGAAAUAUNNNNACCAAGAACUUUCAAAAGAACAACCAAUACAAUGCAUGAAGAAACUCUCUCUCCCUCUCUCUUGCCCUUUGCAUGUGUGAGAGCCAUUUUUGUUCAUGAAGAAACAGGCCAUGAUUAACAAAUUUUAUUGAACUUGAUGGCAAAUCUCAAGUUUACAUGUCAUCAACUUGUGAGUGGAACACAAAGCUUGGGAAUGUAGUGGUAAUAUCCUUGAGAUACUGAAGAGUCAUAUUUUUCAGAAGAGAUGGAUGGCGCAGAACAAGGCUUCUCCACUCUUCCUUGUCAAUCUUGCCGUCAUGUUUUGUAUCAGCUUCCUCAAAAGUCUUGUCAAUUAUACUUUCAAUGACGUCAUCUGAAAGGUUCAUACCAGAUUCAGC
This 651-nucleotide unclassified non-coding RNA is filed under the name Hevea brasiliensis (rubber tree). Lineage: Eukaryota; Viridiplantae; Streptophyta; Magnoliopsida; Malpighiales; Euphorbiaceae. The record is from RNAcentral.